RNAcentral lists this ribosomal RNA (52 nucleotides) under Angiostrongylus cantonensis (rat lungworm). Its description in RNAcentral is "partial 5.8S ribosomal RNA". The record is from RNAcentral. Lineage: Eukaryota; Metazoa; Nematoda; Chromadorea; Rhabditida; Metastrongylidae.
CUAGCUUCAGCGAUGGAUCGGUCGAUUCGCGUAUCGAUGAAAAACGCAUCUA